GACGAACGCUGGCGGCGUGCUUAACACAUGCAAGUCGAACGGAAAGGCCCUGCUUGCAGGGUACUCGAGUGGCGAACGGGUGAGUAACACGUGGGUGAUCUGCCCUGCACUUCGGGAUAAGCCUGGGAAACUGGGUCUAAUACCGGAUAGGAGCCAUUUUUAGUGUGAUGGUUGGAAAGUUUUUUCGGUGUAGGAUGAGCUCGCGGCCUAUCAGCUUGUUGGUGGGGUAAUGGCCUACCAAGGCGGCGACGGGUAGCCGGCCUGAGAGGGUGGACGGCCACAUUGGGACUGAGAGACGGCCCAGACUCCUACGGGAGGCAGCAGUGGGGAAGAUUGCACAAGGGGCGCAAGCCGGAUGCAGCGACGCCGCGUGGGGGAUGACGGCCUUCGGGUUGUAAAAUCCUUUCGCUAGGGACGAAGCUUUUUGUGACGGUACCUAGAUAAGAAGCACCGGCUAACUACGUG
RNAcentral lists this ribosomal RNA (465 nucleotides) under uncultured bacterium. Its description in RNAcentral is "partial 16S ribosomal RNA". It matches the Rfam family "Bacterial small subunit ribosomal RNA", at positions 28 to 507 of the family's 1533-position model. The record is from RNAcentral.